Molecule: non-coding RNA, 450 nt
Filed under: Pongo abelii (Sumatran orangutan)
Lineage: Eukaryota; Metazoa; Chordata; Mammalia; Primates; Hominidae
Source: RNAcentral
CUUGGGACCUUGUAUGUAAGAAAACAUUGAGUCAGAAGAGAGCGUUAGUCAUAGGACUACUGAAACACAAGCUGUCUGCCUACGGAAGGCUCCAGAGUCCCUGACGCAUAUUUAUAUCUCCACUUCACUGAAGUCACAAGGAACAAACACACACCUGCCAUUUCCCAGAUCUCAUAAAACAUAUAAAUGGAUGAGACCAAAGAGAGGCAUGAAAUUCCAUUCUUAUGGUUCACAGGAAGCACCUGGCACACAGUAACUAUUAUUAAUUUCUGCACUGGAGGCAUCAGGAAAGCCUUCAUGCUAUAGGGGGCCCUUUUAAGUUAAGAAGUUGGAGAGCAAGCCUCAGGGAGAGCAAAGAGAUAACUUAGUAGAAUGGAGCAACCAUACAGGAACAGUGAGAGUCCAUGGAUCUCUAUGGGCUAAGAUCAUGUAUGGAUUUGACAAUCUGGC